UACAGAGGGUGCAAACGUUGUUCGGAAUUACUGGGCGUAAAGCGCGUGCAGGCGGCCUUGCAAGUCGGACGUGAAAUCCCACGGCUCAACCGUGGAAGUGCAUUCGAAACUGCGAGGCUGGAGUCCUGGAGAGGAAAGUGGAAUACUCGGUGUAGAGGUGAAAUUCGUAGAUAUUCGGAAGAACACCAGUGGCGAAGGCGGCUCACUGGUCCGGUACUGACGCUGAGGUGCGAAAGCGUGGGGAGCAAACAGG
RNAcentral lists this ribosomal RNA (253 nucleotides) under uncultured bacterium. RNAcentral describes it as "partial 16S ribosomal RNA". It matches the Rfam family "Bacterial small subunit ribosomal RNA", at positions 524 to 776 of the family's 1533-position model. The record is from RNAcentral.